Pongo abelii (Sumatran orangutan) is the source of this 148-nucleotide unclassified non-coding RNA. It matches the Rfam family "Metazoan signal recognition particle RNA". From Rfam's summary of the family: The signal recognition particle (SRP) is a universally conserved ribonucleoprotein. It is involved in the co-translational targeting of proteins to membranes. NCBI's taxonomy places the organism in Eukaryota, Metazoa, Chordata, Mammalia, Primates, Hominidae. The record is from Ensembl.
GUUGGGCGUGGUGGCGGGCGCCUGUAAUCCCAGCUCCUCGGGAGGCUGAGGCAGAAGAAUCACUUGAACGCGGGAGGUGUAGGUUGCAGUGAGCUGAGAUCGAGCCACUGCACUCCAGCCUGGGUGACAGAGUGAGACUCCGUCUCAA